GUCUAAUUAGUUUUAUAUAAAAUAUGGUUUU
Molecule: transfer RNA, 31 nt
Filed under: Gyrodactylus botnicus
Lineage: Eukaryota; Metazoa; Platyhelminthes; Monogenea; Gyrodactylidea; Gyrodactylidae
Description: partial tRNA-Thr
Source: RNAcentral